ACGUAGGGUCCAAGCGUUAAUCGGAAUUACUGGGCGAAAAGCGUGAGCAGGCGGGUGUGUAAGACCGGUGUGAAGAUCCCGGGCGUUAACUGGGAAGUGCAUUGGUGACUGCACGGCUAGAGGGUGUCAGAGGGGGGUAGAAUUCCACGUGUAGCAGUGAAAUGCGUAGAGAUGUGGAGGAAUACCGAUGGCGAAGGCAGCCCCCUGGGAUAACACUGACGCUCAUGCACGAAAGCGUGGGGAGCAAACAG
RNAcentral lists this ribosomal RNA (251 nucleotides) under uncultured prokaryote. RNAcentral's name for it is "partial 16S rRNA". It matches the Rfam family "Bacterial small subunit ribosomal RNA", at positions 525 to 775 of the family's 1533-position model. The record is from RNAcentral.